RNAcentral lists this long non-coding RNA (1555 nucleotides) under Lactuca sativa (garden lettuce). RNAcentral's name for it is "long non-coding RNA (LSAT_LNC009363)". Lineage: Eukaryota; Viridiplantae; Streptophyta; Magnoliopsida; Asterales; Asteraceae. The record is from RNAcentral.
AAAUUUCAAAUUUUAAAUUUUAAUUUCAAUUUUAAAUAAAUUUACAGUUUAAACCUUUGUGUUUAGCAUUUUGUUAUAAUUUACAUAAAUUUGAUAACUAAACAUAUAAUUUUAAUUUAUUUAUUUUUUAUAUGUUUUUUUCUCAUAAUAUCUCAAAUUUCAAAUUCAAAUAAAUUUUCCAUUUAAUCAUUUAUAUUAACAUUUUGUUUUAAUCAACCCGUAUAAUAUACGGGUCACACACUUAGUGUUUAUAAUCAUUAAAAAUCGCUAGCAAUUACAACACACAUAUAUUUACUUUCAUUAGCUUUUUGUUUUAAUUUUAUUUGAAUAAAGGGUUUUUAUACAAAGCAGUAAAUCACAUUACUACAUUUAUAUAAGCUAAAUCCUAUAUGAAUUAAGGAUCUGAAUAUCUAGCACAAAUUACUUGUAGAAGGUGAUUCGCUGUUAAUAUUUUGGCAUCCUUAGCUACCCUUAGCUACCCCUAUUCCUUCUCUCCCGUGGUUUCGAAGCACCAAAGAUCAUACACAAGCAUAUUAUGGAAAAAAGAAAAGUUAUAGGACGUAUACCCCCAUGCCAUUUUCAUGUCCCAAAUGACUUACAAUUAAGAAAUUUCACUAUUUCUGGCAUGUAUCCUGCAUCACAUGUCAAUUUCUUAAACACAUAAACACAUAAGUGGUCCCAUGUAACCAAAAUAGCCUAAAAGGAUUUACAAAAUAAUUGGUGACAGAAUGCUCUGGUUAAAGAAAAGUACCUUGCAACCACAGAUCAACAUCAUUGGAUCCAAUAGCUAUAUAGAAAAGUAGUUUAAUAAUGGAUAUGCUAGAUGUCCCCUGCUCCCUUCUUUUCAAAAGAAGAAAAGAACUUGAUUUGAAAUUAAUGUGCGAAAAUCAAUCAACGGAAGCACACAAUUAAAAAUGAAAUCAGGAUAACUAUACAAAUUAGUUUGUAAAGCACACAAUUCUAAUGAUCCAAAACACACCCCCUAAUCGCCUAGGUUUGAAAUCAACAAAUUACAUUUCGCCCUACCUCCUCAUAAAAUUGUAGGUUCUUCGUUAAUAUCUAGUCGCGUAAUAUUUUUUCCUGAGAGGAAAGCAUAUAAAAUAAUAUCAAAUUGGUCAGAGUAGUCAAGCAUCAUGGUGAAACUGCAAACCCUAAGCAUGGAAAAUUAGGGCAACCCAAAGUUCGGAAAUAUUGUCGAUCGGAGAAGGAUGAGUCCUGUAAAAAAUUGAGAUGAUUAGAUUUGACUUUUGAAAGAAAAUCCAUGUAAGAUGUGAUGUAAAAAAUUGAGAUCCUCAUCAUACAAAAAAAAUGAAAAACAUUGAAUAUCAUUGGCUUAGAGGGAGCAGUGGUAUGGAGAAGUAGGAGGCCGGUGUCCCAAACAUGGAGGAUAAAAAGAGUCGGAGUAAAACAUCCGUUUCCUGAACCUUCGAUGAAGAUUUUGAAUAAGUAACCAAAAGGAUGAAGCGAUGGGCAUUGGCAGAGGAAAAAUAUAUCGCAGGGAAGGGAUGGGGUCGCCAAUUUUGAGAAGCGAUUGUAUGCGAGUGAAGGUGACAAG